Molecule: long non-coding RNA, 3721 nt
Filed under: Oryctolagus cuniculus (rabbit)
Lineage: Eukaryota; Metazoa; Chordata; Mammalia; Lagomorpha; Leporidae
Description: lncRNA (ENSOCUG00000038642.1)
Source: RNAcentral
AUGCAAGGUCUGUGUUAUCUUUCUCCUGCCUGCUCAAGGUACAACUACGCAAUGACCCUACAACUGCUGGGCCUGGAUGAUGAGGGGGCUGAGCCCGGUGCACGGGAUCCUGCCCUGAUGAGAGGGGCCUACUUGUCCUUUCUGUAUCUGCGCCACCUGCGGAUCAGGGAGCUGCAGCGCAUCUGCUUGGGAAUUCUGAACUAUUUCAGAUCCGUGGAGCGAACCUUGACCAUCAACACUUCAGGCCUUACUGUGGCUUCAGGGGACAUGGUCCCUACCAUGGAAGACAGUUGCUGGGCAAACGUGGCCAAAGAAGGCUUGGGCGCCUCGCAAGGCCUCGGGUCCUCUGCCGAGCACAAGGCCCACAGCACCCAAUUCGGGGAGUUCUCUGAAGUGGAGGACCAGGAUGACUAUUACAGCAUGGCUGCUGGCUGCAUCCACAGCCAGGACCAGCACGGGGUGUACGUCAUGUAUGAUGAAGCCCUGAGUGACCUGCAGGGGCUGGAGGCUGAGCUGCUGCUUGUGGCCAGCCAUUACAUCCAGAAAGAAAAAGGUGAGAAGUCGGAUUUUAGAAAGUCAUCUGGGCAGGCAGACUGAAACCACGGAGGGUUCCACAGAGCACUCCCCACCCCAGCGUAUGACAUAUAUCCAAUAGUAUCUAAAAACUCAACAAAGCACACUCCACUACCAGCAGCACACACUCACUCUAGGAAAGAUGCGGUUCUGUCUGCAGCUCCAGCUGCCUGCUGCCAGAGGAGACUGUGAGUACCCCCUCAGGCUGCACUGUGAUUCUUGCUGGUGUGCAGACUCUGAUGCCCCAGGGACCUCUCUAUGUCCCCCACUGGGUGCAGGGUCCUUAGGGGAGCAAAGCAAGCAAGUGAAAUGAGGGACUUUUCUCUAAGCAGCUGACCUUGAGGAAACUGACCCUGAGAGCACAGACAUCCCUGGGUUCAUAACGGCAAGUGCCCACCACACGAGCAGAUCUGGAUAGGACAGUGCCAGACCAGCCCGCAGGACAGGAGUAUUGUGCAGGGGACUCUGGUAACCUCUACUCUGUGUUCUUCCUUUGGACACCAGCAUCAGAAAUUUCCAAUUUUAGAAAUAGAUGAGGUAAGAGUUUUUUUUUUUUUUUGGCAGGGGAACAUGAUAGCAUUCAACUUACAUUUGGAAAGAACUUAGAAUUUCUAGACACAUUGCAACACCUCAAGGGAAAUUUAGCAAGAGUUUGAGCUAUGGUGAAAUAUAUGCAGACUGUAAUUAGGGAUAAUUCAUGUUCAUAUUGUUAUAAAACACUUAUCAAAGGGUUUAGACUAAGCAACUUUCCCGGUCCCAGACAAUUAAUUUAAUAUAGGAUGGGACUCUUUGUCCUGUCUUUGCCACAAUCAUUGCUAUCUGAAUCAUGGGAUACAGUGAUGGCACCCCACAUUCUGGGGCAUUUAAUUUCAGUCACUAGCUUUUAUUGUUAUUGGUGACCCUACACACUAAUGCAUCAUUGCUGUCUGUGCUAAUUUAUUAUGCAACUGUUUCUAGCUGCAGAGAAUUUAAUUUGAUUGAAACACUUAGUCACUUAGCCACACGGGCGUCUUUCAGUGCAGCUGGUCAGACCCUAGUCGUCCACUGUGACUUGAUUUCUCGUCUGCUGAGAGAGCAGGUCCUGGUUAGAGUGUUGCCCUCACUUAGUGUCCAUCGGAUGUGUGGUAAUCACUGAACUCACAUCUCUUACUUCCUGCUAUUUCAUCCUCAAUAGGCCACUGAAAAAUUUAAAACAAUAGCAAUACUGGUACUCAAAACUAAUAUUAAUAUAGUAGAAAAAUACUUCAGAUAACAACACAUAAUAAUCUAAUGAAAAAAUAUUUUUAAAGCUCAUAGAAAAUGUAGGUUAUGUAAAAACUAGGCAUGGUUGUCAGAAUUCCAAUUUUAAUUCCAUUUUUCCACCACCUUUUGGAAGUACAAUGUAUUUCAGCUGAAUAAUCAUGGUGAUUACCUUUAUUAAGUUAGCAACUAGCACAUUUAAGAAAUAUCCUGGAAACAGCUCUGAAAAAAUUUGACUUAGCUAAUAUUAAUGGAACUACAAGGUUAAAUUGGAUUUAUUGUUAAACCACCAGGGGUCUGUUUUUAGAAAAGGAGACAUUUAUGCUUUGCCUGAAUAUUAUGGGUUUGAAGACAUUUUAGCAUCGAUUUCACGUUAACUGAAUUUUGGUUUCAUGUCUAAAAUUAGUCUUUCAGACUCAAAUUAGAAAUGAAAACAAAAACUUGGGUUGCCUUGGAAGUCUUCAGGUCUCAAGGCACUGAGGGCUUCUUCGGGCCUCUUUGUAGAGAGUUCCAAGGCCGGGUGUUAGGAGUCCCAGUGACUGGUUCGGUGUUUGCAUCCCGAACGUGGAGCUGAAAAUCCGAGGGGCCCAUUUCCAAGGGGAGCAGCUUUGGUGAGAGGCCUGUGUCUGAUCACUUCCACCUGCUCCCCCUUCUCCCCAGGUCACAAAGAGGGCAGUGAGGUGGAAAGUGGCCAGCACUGGGGAUGGGCCCACGCGAGUGUGGACAGGUUUGCAGUGCUGUAUCACCUGUGGACUUGGGAAGCCACUCUUCUGGAAAACAAGCGCCAGGUAUUUUUUUUUAAAUUAAAAAAGAUUUAUUUAUUUAUUCGAAAGGCAGAAUGACAGAGAGAGAAAGACAAAGACAGAGAGGGAGAGAAAUAUCUCCCAUCUGUUCAUUCAAGACCAAAAUGGCCAUGAUGGGCAGGGUGUGGCCAGGCCAAAGGCAGAAGCCUGGAACUCCAUCCAGGUCUCCCACAUGGGUGCUCCAGGUGUUUUUCAUUAGAAGGCACAACACCUGUUAAAAACCAGUCUUAAAAACAAAGCCCGAUAGUAAUUGCUGUUGUUAAACCCAGUGGGAGCUUCAGGUCAGCUGUCAACAACUGAAUACUUAUUUUAUUUCAAUCAUCUCAGCAAAUUAUGAGGACGUGAGUAGCAAGUUUUCCUCCCUGUGAUUCUGCCUCACACACACACACACACACACAAAUACAACGUGAAGGAUGCACCUUUAUCUUAUGGUGUAACCUGUGAGAUUGCUGUACAGUUUAGGCCUUUCUCAUAAGAUGUGUGCUUUAAAAAAAAAAAAAGAUUUAUUUAUUUAUUUGCAAACCAGAGUUACACAGAGAGAGGAGAGGCAGAGAGAGCAUUUUCCAUCCUAUGGUUCACUCCCCAGAUGGCUGCAACGGCUGGAACUGUGCUGAUCCGAAGCCAGGAGCCAGGAGCUUUUUCCAGGUCUCCCACAUGGGUGCAGGGGCCCCAGGACCUGGGCCAUCUUCUACCACUUUCACAGGCUGUAGCAGAGAGCUGGAUGGGAAGUGGAGCAGCUGGGAGUAGAACUGGCGCCCAUAUGGGAUGCUGGCGCUCCAGGCCAGGGCAUUAACCCACUGCACCACAGCAGUGGCCCCAUGUGUGCUUUUAGAGAGGAGGGAGGAUGGUUCCAAACGUGCCCAUGGUCUAAUCAUAAGGACCAGCCUCACUUUGCAAGAUGCAAGCUGACUGACCUGUUCGUGGCCUUUAGAAAUACAUGCGACGUGUGCGUGGGGGAAAGGAGUUGGACAAAGGGUGCUGAGUGCAGUGAAUUACAAGGGAUGCGUUUAAAGCCAGGAGGCAGGAAGUUACUAAAUCAUCGUAGCAUCAGGAAUGGCUCAUGGUUCAGUAAUAAAUGCAGCACUACAGGUGUACUGCCCUUUGUU